Molecule: ribosomal RNA, 253 nt
Filed under: uncultured bacterium
Lineage: Bacteria
Description: partial 16S ribosomal RNA
Rfam family: Bacterial small subunit ribosomal RNA
Source: RNAcentral
CACGUAGGGCGCAAGCGUUGUCCGGAAUUAUUGGGCGUAAAGAGCUCGUAGGCGGUCUGUUGCGUCGGCUGUGAAAACUCGGGGCUUAACCCCGAGCCUGCAGUGGAUACGGGCAGACUAGAGGUAGGUAGGGGAGAAUGGAAUUCCCGGUGUAGCGGUGAAAUGCGCAGAUAUCGGGAGGAACACCGGUGGCGAAGGCGGUUCUCUGGGCCUUACCUGACGCUGAGGAGCGAAAGCGUGGGGAGCGAACAGG